This 75-nucleotide transfer RNA is filed under the name Candidatus Rehaiarchaeum fermentans. RNAcentral describes it as "tRNA-Met". It matches the Rfam family "tRNA". Rfam says of the family: Transfer RNA (tRNA) molecules are approximately 80 nucleotides in length. Lineage: Archaea; Nanobdellati; Candidatus Parvarchaeota. The record is from RNAcentral.
AGCGGGAUAGAGCAGCCAGGAGUGCUCGCCGGGCCCAUAACCCGGAGGUCGGUGGUUCAAAUCCACCUCCCGCUA